This 506-nucleotide ribosomal RNA is filed under the name uncultured bacterium. RNAcentral describes it as "partial 16S ribosomal RNA". It matches the Rfam family "Bacterial small subunit ribosomal RNA", at positions 27 to 507 of the family's 1533-position model. The record is from RNAcentral.
GGACGAACGCUGGCGGCGUGCCUAAUACAUGCAAGUAGAACGCACAGUUUAUACCGUAGCUUGCUACACCAUAGACUGUGAGUUGCGAACGGGUGAGUAACGCGUAGGCAACCUGCCUGGUAGCGGGGGAUAACUAUUGGAAACGAUAGCUAAUACCGCAUAAUAUUGAUUAUUGCAUGAUAAUUGAUUGAAAGAUGCUAUUGCAUCACUACCAGAUGGACCUGCGUUGUAUUAGCUAGUAGGUGAGGUAACGGCUCACCUAGGCGACGAUACAUAGCCGACCUGAGAGGGUGAUCGGCCACACUGGGACUGAGACACGGCCCAGACUCCUACGGGAGGCAGCAGUAGGGAAUCUUCGGCAAUGGACGAAAGUCUGACCGAGCAACGCCGCGUGAGUGAAGAAGGUUUUCGGAUCGUAAAGCUCUGUUGUAAGAGAAGAACGGGUGUGAGAGUGGAAAGUUCACACUGUGACGGUAUCUUACCAGAAAGGGACGGCUAACUACGUG